RNAcentral lists this ribosomal RNA (485 nucleotides) under uncultured bacterium. RNAcentral describes it as "partial 16S ribosomal RNA". It matches the Rfam family "Bacterial small subunit ribosomal RNA", at positions 30 to 507 of the family's 1533-position model. The record is from RNAcentral.
UUGCACGCUGGCGGCAUGCCUUACACAUGCAAGUCGAACGGCAGCACGGGUGCUUGCCCCUGGUGGCGAGUGGCGAACGGGUGAGUAAUACAUCGGAACAUGUCCUGUAGUGGGGGAUAGCCCGGCGAAAGCCGGAUUAAUACCGCAUACGAUCCACGGAUGAAAGCGGGGGACCUUCGGGCCUCGCGCUAUAGGGUUGGCCGAUGGCUGAUUAGCUAGUUGGUGGGGUAAAGGCCUACCAAGGCGACGAUCAGUAGCUGGUCUGAGAGGACGACCAGCCACACUGGGACUGAGACACGGCCCAGACUCCUACGGGAGGCAGCAGUGGGGAAUUUUGGACAAUGGGCGAAAGCCUGAUCCAGCAAUGCCGCGUGUGUGAAGAAGGCCUUCGGGUUGUAAAGCACUUUUGUCCGGAAAGAAAUCCUUGACUCUAAUACAGUCGGGGGAUGACGGUACCGGAAGAAUAAGCACCGGCUAACUACGUG